This 411-nucleotide ribosomal RNA is filed under the name uncultured bacterium. Its description in RNAcentral is "bacterial SSU rRNA". It matches the Rfam family "Bacterial small subunit ribosomal RNA", at positions 505 to 916 of the family's 1533-position model. The record is from RNAcentral.
GUGCCAGCCGCCGCGGUAAUACAGAGGGUGCGAGCGUUAAUCGGAGUUACUGGGCGUAAAGGGUGCGUAGGCGGUACUAUGUGUGUGAUGUGAAAGCCCCGGGCUUAACCUGGGAAGUGCAUCGCAAACUGUAGAACUAGAGUAGAUGAGAGGGUGAUGGAAUUUCCGGUGUAGCGGUGAAAUGCGUAGAGAUCGGAAGGAACGUCAAUGGCGAAGGCAGUCACCUGGCAUCAUACUGACGCUGAGGCACGAAAGCGUGGGGAGCGAACAGGAUUAGAUACCCUGGUAGUCCACGCUGUAAACGAUGACAACUAAAUGUUGGUUGGGGAACCAAUCGGUAUUGAAGCUAACGCGAUAAGUUGUCCGCCUGGGAAGUACGGCCGCAAGGUUGAAACUUAAAUAAAUUGACGG